GGGACAGCGGGGCGGGAUCGGCACACGGCGGGUGAGGUGGUCGGGUUCGGGCGGGUGCGGUCGGAGGCGGGGGCACCCGGGGGGCUAUAGCGCACGGCCUCGGGGGCCGCAAAGAAGGGGCCGUAACUCAUGAUCGGGGCCCCCGAUUCCGUUUCCGUUUCGUCCCACGGGACCAGCGGUCCGGGGGCAUCGGGAUGGGGGGGUAGCCGUGCGGCGGUUUGAUCGCCGAAAAAUGGGUAAGAUCGGGGCCGCUUAGUAGGCUUUGCCGGUUUCGGCCGUAACUCAUGAUCCGGGCCUCCGAUUCCGUUUCCGUUUGGUCCCACGGGACCAGCGGUCC
RNAcentral lists this long non-coding RNA (337 nucleotides) under Citrus x clementina. Its description in RNAcentral is "Citrus clementina (C. clementina) long non-coding RNA (CCLE_LNC006171)". Lineage: Eukaryota; Viridiplantae; Streptophyta; Magnoliopsida; Sapindales; Rutaceae. The record is from RNAcentral.